Molecule: long non-coding RNA, 3673 nt
Filed under: Bos grunniens (domestic yak)
Lineage: Eukaryota; Metazoa; Chordata; Mammalia; Artiodactyla; Bovidae
Description: lncRNA (ENSBGRG00000001161.1)
Source: RNAcentral
GCCCUGGACAAGGAUCUAAGAUGUUAGCUCCUUGUACAGCUGUGGAAAGUCACCUUCUUUAUUUAUGUGCUCAGUCGUGUCUGACUCUUUGUGACCCCAUGGACUAUAGUCCACCAGGCUUCUCUGUCUGUGGAAUUUUCCAGGCAAGAAUACUUGAGUGGGUGGUCAUUUCCUUCUCUGGAGGAUCUUCCCCUCCCAGGGUUGAACCCUUAUCUCCCGUGUCUCCUGCAUUGCAGUGGGAUUCUUUACCUGAUGAGCCAUUGGGAAAACCCAACCUUGUUUUUUCCUUCUAUAAAUCAAGGGGCGCACGGGUCGUCGAGUUGAGGAAGCCGAUGCCGUCACCAUCCACAGCCGCCGAAAGCAACUUCCUACUCCCCCUUGGCCUCUGCUGUGGGAACGCUUCCCCUAGCGCUGCAGGAAUCUUUCCCCUUAAACCGGGGAAGAUUCCUUAAUCCGUUUUCGUGGUAAACGACCUCGGGCCAAGACUCCUUUUGUUGCUGGUUUCUUAAACUUAAUUGCAAGCAAAGUUAAUUUGAAAGAAAAUAAAUGUUACAGCUCUGGGGCGAAUUCUAACGAGCCUUGGGAAAUUAGAGAAGAACGCAUCUAAUUACCCACAGCCCGGGGGGCGCCUGCACACGACGCUGGGGGUGCAGAGCCCAGAUAGGGGCACACAAUUUUUUUGGUUUCAAGAUAGGAAGAAGAAAAAAGAAACACACCUCCCGACUCUGAGCCCCUAGACAGGGAGGUCCUGUUUCGCGGUUUGGGGGUUCGGAGAGUUGGACUGUCGCUAGACGCAGCAAUGAAUGCUCUCAAGGUCCUAGAAUCGCGCGGACAGCUCGGCCGCGUGGAAGGUAGACUCCGCUCGGCCUGUCUGUGGUUGAAGCGCCCGGAUGGCCCGCGAGCUUUGGGUGCCGCCGGCUGGCAGGAGGCCGAAAAGCGCCGACGUUCUCCAAAACCUCGACAGUCCCGCUGUCUUUCCGGGCUCUCGCUGUGCGCACCCAGUUCCCAACUCGCAGCGUCCCCUCUCCCGUCACAUACUCUGGCUUUUGGCGCCAUCUCACCCGUCGUCCCAGUUUCCAGAGAGAGUUGGGAGUGAAGACGCGUGCACUUUGCCUCUCCAUCUUUCUCGUUCACCCGGGUUUUACCUCGACGCUCCAGGAGGCUUCGGGAUAAGCUGGCGCUUUUUAAUUGUAAAGCCCUUCUUCCCUCGUGUGCCAAGCGCUUUACAGUUUACAGCGUAUCUACCUCUCUUGAUUCGUUUAACUUCAGGAGGACUCUGAGCGAGGGGUCACAAAUUACUACUCACAAAUGAGGACCCUAGAGAAGGGACUGGUUAAUGGCGCUGUCAAAGCAAUGGACUUGCUAAAUAAAACACAGAGAAGGGUCAACCACCGCAUUAACCGGGCGCAUAGACUGCCCUUUUCCAGCCCUAAUCCCCUAGCUGGGCUUUAGGCAGCCAAGGACAAGACCCUGGGUGGAAGCCUUUCAAUUUCUGACUACUGCCAGCUAAGGAAAUGGCAACCCACUCCAGUAUUCUUGGCCUGGAGAAUCCCAGGGACGGGGAGCCUGAUGGGCUGCCGUCUAUGGGGUCGCACAGAGUCGGACACGACUGAAGAGACUUAGCAGCAGCAGCCAGCUAGGCAAGGCAUCCUGAUUUCUGCCUGGGAGAGCCAGACUGUCUAGCUGCACAUGAGAACCUUUGAAUUUCAACCUGCAAGGAUCCAUAGGGAGAUAAGGGAGGCCUAACACCUAGGCAUUUCCAAGGUCACAGGGCUAGGUCUGAAAUCUGGACCUACUGGUCGUAGGGUCAGUGCUGCAGCUGCUCCCUGCCUCCAGGUGGUUCAUUACUACCAGCAGAGUUCGGAAGGACCAGUGUCUAGACUCCUGCUAACACCAUAGCCAUCAACCACACACUGCUAUUGAGCACUUGGCUUGUGGUUAGUCCAAACUUGAGCUCUAAGUGUAAAAUACACUCCAGAUUUUGAAGACUUAGUAUGAAAAACAUACACUACCUCAACAAUUUUUACACUGAUUAUACCUUGAAAUGAUAGUUUGGACAAAUUGUGUUAAAUACAGUAUAUUAUUAAUCUAUUUCACUUGUUUUUAAAAUAAAUGCAGCUACCAGAAAAAUCUUAGUUACAUGGGCAGCUUGCAUGAUAUUUCUAUUGGGCAGCACUUUUAGACAGAUACCCAUCUGGACUGAAUCACAUUCACAUGUCUUUGUGAACAGGAUAGAGCAAUCCACGAAAUUAAAAAUUACCAAUGGUUUUCAGUCUUCUUUCCCACACUCCCCAACUCUUCCCUAGUAAAUUAAUUACACAGAAAGAGGCUGCCUUUCUCUUGCCAGAACUCACUUACUCAAAGAUCUUUAUUAGAAACAGUUCAUAUGAACACUCAAGUUUAUCUGAAACUGCACAACGAGCUUCUGAAAUAUUUAAUGCUUGAAAGUUUUGUUCCAGAAUCAAAACUUACAAGAUAUCUCCUGAGAAAGGUGGGGAAAUGGUUGGAUUUAUUAUUUUUUUUCUGAUCUUGGUCAUCUUGUAGCUUAAAAGAAAUAAAUGGAAACAAAGUUAAAUACCAGUUUCUUUCUAAGCCUGCCUAACUGCCCCAGUUUUUCUUUCUUUUUUGCAUGAAAAGAUGCCAGGGAUGGAAGGGCCAGCCCACAAAAUGAAAGCCCUCACCAAGAGACUCAAGAGAGUUUUGUUAUCUCUUUGACUUUUAACUCACCCAUUGGGUCCAGGGCUUAAUGAAAAGAAAGAGUGGGCAAUGGACAAAUGUAUUUCUACCUGCCUCAUUGGAAAACCACAUUUAUGACCCAGCAGUAAUAGCUGCCGAAUGAUCAGCACAUCAUGCUGAAAUUGUGACAUAAUUGGGGCCUGGAGCUAAUCCAGAGUUGCUUGCUAUGAGCUCUGUUCCCAUUCCUUGGAGUAAGGUUAGGCCUUGGGUGGCCCAUCCAUGCUGCCAAAUAUGCAGGGCGGCAGCAGCCCUGAUGGGCCCUUAAAGAUCAUAUGGGGGCACGGUUGGAUUCUACAGCUCUCUUGUAUAUCACAUGGGAACCCUGCAGGGUGUGAGUGAUGGAACUGGGUCACACUGUGGCAACCCAGCACAGUCUGGAUUCAGAGCCAGGUUUGCAGUUCUCAGAGGCUGGGAAAAGCAGGCCUCGGUCAAGCUAAACAGAGAUCUUUCCCAUUUUUUAAAAAAGUUACUUCUUUUGCAAAUUUGUCCUCCUCAUCUUAUGUGGGAAGACGCUAUAGGAGUCUUUUAUUGUAAUAAGACAGUCAAAGGCACAAGAGGUCGAACUGUGUAAAAAGAGCUUUGAAAAGUACAGGGAAGAGUGAAAUCAUGUGAUUCUUCACCAUUCCUCUAGACUCUGGAGUAGACGCUACCUUGUGCCCCGUUUAGAGCUAAGGGCCCUCCCCGGUUAGAAUGUCCAAGGCAAGACCUUUGGAGCUGCGCCUCUAUGAGGGUCUCUUGUCCCAGUCCAUGGGCCUAGGACGCUUCUCCCCACUUCCCAUUUUCAAAGCCGCCCGGUAGGCGCCCGGUGUACGCGGUGCACCGGGAGUCUGCGCCUGUCACGCCGGCUCGGUCCCUGCCACGUGGCUCUCAAUUCGGCCCUCUGUCCAGUCCUGUCCUCAGGUUUCGUCGAUACUUAGUUCGUAAGGACAGUCGAGGU